CCUACGGGUGGCUGCAGUGAGGAAUAUUGGUCAAUGGGCGAGAGCCUGAACCAGCCACGUCGCGUGAGGGAGUACUGCCCUCUGGGUUGUAAACCUCUUUUGUCGGGGAGCAAAAGCCGGAUGUGUCCGGCUGUGAGAGUACCCGAAGAAAACGCCUCGGCUAACUCCGUGCCAGCAGCCGCGGUAAUACGGAGGAUGCGAGUGGUAUCCGGUUUUAUUGGGUUAAAAGGGUGCGCAGGCGGAUUUUUAAGUCAGCGGUCAAAUCGUGGGGCUCAACCCCAUCCAGCCGUUGAAACUGGGGAUCUAGGGUGAGCGAGAGGUAUGGGGAAUGCGUGGUGUAGCGGUGAAAUGCAUAGAUAUCACGCAGAACCACGAUUGCGAAGGCAGCAUACCGGUGCACAACUGACGCUCAGGCACGAAAGCGUGGGUAUCGAACAGGAUUAGAUACCCUGGUAGUC
Molecule: ribosomal RNA, 458 nt
Filed under: uncultured bacterium
Lineage: Bacteria
Description: partial 16S ribosomal RNA
Rfam family: Bacterial small subunit ribosomal RNA
Source: RNAcentral